This 428-nucleotide ribosomal RNA is filed under the name uncultured Entrophosporaceae. RNAcentral describes it as "SSU rRNA". It matches the Rfam family "Eukaryotic small subunit ribosomal RNA", at positions 459 to 886 of the family's 1831-position model. The record is from RNAcentral. Lineage: Eukaryota; Fungi; Glomeromycota; Glomeromycetes; Entrophosporales; Entrophosporaceae.
GGGAGGUAGUGACAAUAAAUAACAAUACGGGGCUCUUUAGGGUCUCGUAAUUGGAAUGAGUACAAUUUAAAUCCCUUAACGAGGAACAAUUGGAGGGCAAGUCUGGUGCCAGCAGCCGCGGUAAUUCCAGCUCCAAUAGCGUAUAUUAAAGUUGUUGCAGUUAAAAAGCUCGUAGUUGAAUUUCGGGAUUGACGUGAUGGUCGUGCCUUACGGGGUAUGAACUGUCGCAGUUGAUUCUCACCUUCUGGAGAAGCUCGAUGUCCUUAAUUGGGUGUCUUGCGGAACCAGGACCUUUACCUUGAAAAAUUAGAGUGUUUAAAGCAGGCAUUUUUGCUUGAAUACAUUAGCAUGGAAUAAUAAAAUAGGACGGCAUGGUUCUAUUUUGUUGGUUUCUAGGACCACCGUAAUGAUUAAUAGGGAUAGUUGGG